This 542-nucleotide ribosomal RNA is filed under the name Amblycirrhitus pinos (redspotted hawkfish). RNAcentral's name for it is "partial 16S large subunit ribosomal RNA". It matches the Rfam family "Bacterial large subunit ribosomal RNA", at positions 1846 to 2586 of the family's 2925-position model. The record is from RNAcentral. Lineage: Eukaryota; Metazoa; Chordata; Actinopteri; Centrarchiformes; Cirrhitidae.
UAAGAGGUCCCGCCUGCCCAGUCACUAAACGUUUAACGGCCGCGGUACUCUGACCGUGCAAAGGUAGCGCAAUCACUUGUCUUUUAAAUGGAGACCUGUAUGAAUGGCAUAACGAGGGCUUAACUGUCUCCUUUUUCUAGUCAAUGAAAUUGAUCUCCCCGUGCAGAAGCGGGGAUAAUUAUAUAAGACGAGAAGACCCUAUGGAGCUUCAGACACUAACGCAGGCCAUUUCACUAACCCCAGACAAGGAUUUUAAACCAAAUAGUCGACUGCCCUAAUGUCUUUGGUUGGGGCGACCGCGGGGAAACAAAAAACCCCCAUGUGGAAUGGGACACCCUCCUUGAAAUAAGAGCUACCGCUCUAAUUUAACAGAAAUUCUGACCAAUCAGAUCCGGCUUCAGCCGAUCAACGGACCGAGUUACCCUAGGGAUAACAGCGCAAUCCUCUUUCAGAGCCCAUAUCGACAAGAGGGUUUACGACCUCGAUGUUGGAUCAGGACAUCCUAAUGGUGCAGCCGCUAUUAAGGGUUCGUUUGUUCAACG